AUUGAACGCUGGCGGCAGGCCUAACACAUGCAAGUCGAACGAGUGGCGGACGGGUGAGUAAUGUCUGGGAAACUGCCUGAUGGAGGGGGAUAACUACUGGAAACGGUAGCUAAUACUGCUUACCACUGGCUGUGCCGAAAUGGGAUUAGCUAGUAGGGGGGGUAAAGGCUCACCUAGGCGACGAUCCCUAGCUGGUCUGAGAGGAUGACCAGCCACACUGGAACUGAGACACGGUCCAGACUCCUACGGGAGGCAGCAGUGGGGAAUAUUGCACAAUGGGCGCAAGCCUGAUGCAGCCAUGCCGCGUGUAUGAAGAAGGCCUUCGGGUUGUAAAGUACUUUCAGCGGGGAGGCGUUACCCGCAGAAGAAGCACCGGCUAACUCCGUGCCAGCAGCCGCGGUAAUUC
This 406-nucleotide ribosomal RNA is filed under the name uncultured bacterium. RNAcentral's name for it is "partial 16S ribosomal RNA". It matches the Rfam family "Bacterial small subunit ribosomal RNA", at positions 30 to 526 of the family's 1533-position model. The record is from RNAcentral.